UACGUAGGGUGCGAGCGUUGUCCGGAAUUACUGGGCGUAAAGAGCUCGUAGGUGGUUUGUCGCGUUGUCCGUGAAAACUCACAACUCAAUUGUGGGCGUGCGGGCGAUACGGGCAGACUGGAGUACUGCAGGGGAGACUGGAAUUCCUGGUGUAGCGGUGGAAUGCGCAGAUAUCAGGAGGAACACCGGUGGCGAAGGCAGGUCACUGGGCCGCAACUGACGCUGAGGAGCGAAAGCAUGGGGAGCGAACAGG
Molecule: ribosomal RNA, 253 nt
Filed under: uncultured bacterium
Lineage: Bacteria
Description: partial 16S ribosomal RNA
Rfam family: Bacterial small subunit ribosomal RNA
Source: RNAcentral